This is a transfer RNA of Metschnikowia bicuspidata var. bicuspidata NRRL YB-4993, 71 nucleotides long. It matches the Rfam family "tRNA". Rfam says of the family: Transfer RNA (tRNA) molecules are approximately 80 nucleotides in length. Their secondary structure includes four short double-helical elements and three loops (D, anti-codon, and T loops). The record is from Rfam. NCBI's taxonomy places the organism in Eukaryota, Fungi, Ascomycota, Pichiomycetes, Serinales, Metschnikowiaceae.
GCGCAAAUAGUUUAGUGGUAAAAUCGAACAUUCCCAUUGUUCAGUCCCUGGUUCGAUUCCUGGUUUGCGCA